This 435-nucleotide ribosomal RNA is filed under the name uncultured Oscillospiraceae bacterium. RNAcentral describes it as "partial 16S ribosomal RNA". It matches the Rfam family "Bacterial small subunit ribosomal RNA", at positions 341 to 792 of the family's 1533-position model. The record is from RNAcentral. Lineage: Bacteria; Bacillati; Bacillota; Clostridia; Eubacteriales; Oscillospiraceae.
ACGGGAGGCAGCAGUCGGGAAUAUUGCGCAAUGGAGGAAACUCUGACGCAGUGACGCCGCGUGCAGGAAGAAGGUUUUCGGAUUGUAAACUGCUUUAGACGAGGAAGAAAAAAGACAGUACUUGUAAAAUAAGCUCCGGCUAACUACGUGCCAGCAGCCGCGGUAAUACGUAGGGAGCAAGCGUUAUCCGGAUUUAUUGGGUGUAAAGGGUGCGUAGACGGUAAAGCAAGUUAGUUGUGAAAUCCCUCGGCUUAACUGAGGAACUGCAACUAAAACUACUUUUCUUGAGUGCUGGAGAGGAAAGUGGAAUUCCUAGUGUAGCGGUGAAAUGCGUAGAUAUUAGGAGGAACACCAGUGGCGAAGGCGACUUUCUGGACAGUAACUGACGUUGAGGCUCGAAAGCGUGGGGAGCAAACAGGAUUAGAUACCCUGGUA